AAUGAACGCUGGCGGCAGGCCUAACACAUGCAAGUCGAACGGUAACAGGAAGAAGCUUGCUUCUUUGCUGACGAGUGGCGGACGGGUGAGUAAUGUCUGGGAAACUGCCUGAUGGAGGGGGAUAACUACUGGAAACGGUAGCUAAUACCGCAUAACGUCGCAAGACCAAAGAGGGGGACCUUCGGGCCUCUUGCCAUCGAAUGUGCCCAGAUGGGAUUAGCUAGUAGGUGGGGUAACGGCUCACCUAGGCGACGAUCCCUAGCUGGCCUGAGAGGGUGACCAGCCACACUGGAACUGAGACACGGUCCAGACUCCUACGGGAGGCAGCAGUAGGGAAUCUUGCGCAAUGGGCGAAAGCCUGAUGGAGCAACGCCGCGUGAAUGAAGAAGGUCUUCGGAUUGUAAAAUUCUGUUAGUAGGGAAGAACAAAGUAAAGAGUAACUCUUCACUCAUUGACGUUACCUACACAGAAAGCCCCGGCUAACUACGUG
This 490-nucleotide ribosomal RNA is filed under the name uncultured bacterium. Its description in RNAcentral is "partial 16S ribosomal RNA". It matches the Rfam family "Bacterial small subunit ribosomal RNA", at positions 29 to 507 of the family's 1533-position model. The record is from RNAcentral.